This 508-nucleotide ribosomal RNA is filed under the name uncultured bacterium. RNAcentral's name for it is "partial 16S ribosomal RNA". It matches the Rfam family "Bacterial small subunit ribosomal RNA", at positions 28 to 507 of the family's 1533-position model. The record is from RNAcentral.
GACGAACGCUGGCGGCGUGCCUAAUACAUGCAAGUCGAACGCUUCUUUCCUCCCGAGUGCUUGCCCUCAAUUGGAAAGAGGAGUGGCGGACGGGUGAGUAACACGUGGGUAACCUACCCAUCAGAGGGGGAUAACACUUGGAAACAGGUGCUAAUACCGCAUAACAGUUUAUGCCGCAUGGCAUAAGAGUGAAAGGCGCUUUCGGGUGUCGCUGAUGGAUGGACCCGCGGUGCAUUAGCUAGUUGGUGAGGUAACGGCUCACCAAGGCCACGAUGCAUAGCCGACGGGAGGGGGUGAGCGGCCAAAGUGGGACUGAGACGCGGCCAAAACUCCUAGGGGAGGCGGCAGUAGGAAAUUUUCGACAAGGGACAAAGGUCUGACGGAGAAACGCCGGGAGAGGAAAGAGGUUUUUCGGAUCAAAAAACUCUGUUGUAAGAGAAAAAAAAGAACGUAAGAAACUGAACGCCCCAUGACGGUAGAAAAAAAGAAAGCCACGAAAACCUAGGUG